AGUCAACAUGCCCAGGGGACGUGGAUAACCUCGGGAAACUGAGGAUAAACCGCGAUAGGCCAUGAUUUCUGGAAUGGUUCAUGGCCGAAAUCUAUAUGGCCCCUGGAUUGGACUGCGGCCGAUCAGGCUGUUGGUGAGGUAAUGGCCCACCAAACCUGUAACCGGUACGGGCUCUGAGAGGAGGAGCCCGGAGAUGGGCACUGAGACAAGGGCCCAGGCCCUAUGGGGCGCAGCAGGCGCGAAAUCUCUGCAAUAGGCGAAAGCUUGACAGGGUUACUCUGAGUGAUUCCCGCUAAGGGGAUCUUUUGGCACCUUUUAAAAUGGUGCAGAAUAAAGGGUGGGCAAGUCUGGUGUCAGCCCC
This 361-nucleotide ribosomal RNA is filed under the name uncultured archaeon. Its description in RNAcentral is "bacterial SSU rRNA". It matches the Rfam family "Archaeal small subunit ribosomal RNA", at positions 102 to 465 of the family's 1478-position model. The record is from RNAcentral.